Non-coding RNA from Phyllosticta capitalensis, 82 nucleotides. The record is from the annotation of a GenBank genome assembly. NCBI's taxonomy places the organism in Eukaryota, Fungi, Ascomycota, Dothideomycetes, Botryosphaeriales, Phyllostictaceae.
GGGUCGGUGGUGUAGUGGUAACAUAUGUCAUGGCCGCAGUCUUUCCCAUGACAAGUCCCAGGUUCAAUUCCUGGCUGACCUG